GACGAACGCUGGCGGCGUGCUUAACACAUGCAAGUCGAACGGAAAGGCCUCUUUCGGGGGGUACUCGAGUGGCGAACGGGUGAGUAACACGUGAGUAACCUGCCCUUGACUUUGGGAUAACUUCAGGAAACUGGGGCUAAUACCGGAUAGGAGCUCCUGCUGCAUGGUGGGGGUUGGAAAGUUUCGGCGGUUGGGGAUGGACUCGCGGCUUAUCAGCUUGUUGGUGGGGUAGUGGCUUACCAAGGCUUUGACGGGUAGCCAGCCUGAGAGGGUGACCGGCCACAUUGGGACUGAGAUACGGCCCAGACUCCUACGGGAGGCAGCAGUGGGGAAUAUUGCACAAUGGGUGGAAGCCUGAUGCAGCAACGCCGUGUGCGGGAUGACGGCCUUCGGGUUGUAAACCGCUUUCGCUCAUGACGAAGCUUUGUGUGACGGUAGUGGGUAAAGAAGCACCGGCGAACUACGU
This 466-nucleotide ribosomal RNA is filed under the name uncultured bacterium. RNAcentral describes it as "partial 16S ribosomal RNA". It matches the Rfam family "Bacterial small subunit ribosomal RNA", at positions 28 to 506 of the family's 1533-position model. The record is from RNAcentral.